ACAAGAAAUAACAAUACAGGGCUUUUUCGGUCUUGUAAUUGGAAUGAGUACAAUUUAAACCCCUUUAACGAGUAUCAAUUGGAGGGCAAGUCUGGUGCCAGCAGCCGCGGUAAUUCCAGCUCCAAUAGCGUAUAUUAAAGUUGUUGCAGUUAAAAAGCUCGUAGUUGGAUUUCGG
This 175-nucleotide ribosomal RNA is filed under the name Cryptosporidium sp. RNAcentral describes it as "partial small subunit ribosomal RNA". It matches the Rfam family "Eukaryotic small subunit ribosomal RNA", at positions 470 to 644 of the family's 1831-position model. Lineage: Eukaryota; Apicomplexa; Conoidasida; Eucoccidiorida; Cryptosporidiidae. The record is from RNAcentral.